UACGGAGGAUGCAAGCGUUAUCCGGAUUCAUUGGGUUUAAAGGGUGCGCAGGCGGAGAGAUAAGUCAGUGGUGAAAAACUGCCGCUCAACGGUAGUCUUGCCAUUGAUACUGUCUUUCUUGAGUAUGGAUGAGGUAGGCGGAAUGUGCAGUGUAGCGGUGAAAUGCAUAGAUAUUGCACGGAACACCAAUUGCGAAGGCAGCUUGCUGGACCAUUACUGACGCUCAGGCACGAAAGCGUGGGGA
This 244-nucleotide ribosomal RNA is filed under the name uncultured prokaryote. Its description in RNAcentral is "partial 16S ribosomal RNA". It matches the Rfam family "Bacterial small subunit ribosomal RNA", at positions 524 to 767 of the family's 1533-position model. The record is from RNAcentral.